This is a long non-coding RNA of Mesocricetus auratus (golden hamster), 588 nucleotides long. RefSeq lists it as uncharacterized. The record is from RefSeq and is a predicted model, not a curated record. NCBI's taxonomy places the organism in Eukaryota, Metazoa, Chordata, Mammalia, Rodentia, Cricetidae. The transcript has 4 exons.
UCAGGACAUAUGCAUCUAUAAAUUGAGAAGUUGUUCUAGCAGUGAUGAGAAAGCAAGUCAAGAGACCAUUUCCGUGGUCCAGAUGAGAGUUAGGAGGGACCGGAGGUACAGACGUGGGAGUGGUGUGAAAAGAAGAAAUGCGUUGAGUAAGAGAAAGUCUAAGAAGGCUAUCAACAUCCUUGCCCGGAUGCCUUUACGCAUGCCCACUCCCGCUGGAAGGAUUCCUCCAGGCUUCCAUUCACCCUACCCAUUCACGACCUUGGAGAAGCAUUCCAGCUGAAAUCUACUGUGGAUACUUCUUCAUACCCUUCCUCCUCCUUCCUCCAGAUGAGUGAGAUGAUGACCCUCGUCUGCCUGAGAUCUUACUGGGAAAGAGAUCGGGCCUACUGCAUGGCAGGCUAUCACUAGAUAAUGGUUCCCGACUCUUGAGUGACAGAGUGCCAGGACGUUGAGCAUCUUUUCAACGCUUGCUUUGAUCGCUGUCUUGUUCUUUGAGCUUCAUAGCUGUAUUCAUAUAAUUGAUGGUCUUUUGUAGCAAUUUUAAUUUAAAGUAUAUCUUGUGAGUUUGUAUUGAAGAAACAAAUUGAG